RNAcentral lists this unclassified non-coding RNA (300 nucleotides) under Hevea brasiliensis (rubber tree). Lineage: Eukaryota; Viridiplantae; Streptophyta; Magnoliopsida; Malpighiales; Euphorbiaceae. The record is from RNAcentral.
CAUUCAGAUCAAAUUCCACUUUUGCUUCCACAUCCAACUCCCCUGCAGCAGAAAAAGGAACAGCAUCUGCUGUUGCAGAUGUACAUUCCUCGGCUUCAUCAGCCACAAUGCCAGUCAACUUUGAUCCCCUAGUCCUUGCUUGCACUUCAGAUUCUUGGACAACUGUGGUCGAAAACUUCUCAGGAAGCAUUGGGCCGCUGCUAUGUUGUUCAUUACCCUGAUUACCUUCUAGUCUCUCCACACAAUCACCUUUGUGAUCAGUAACAGCAGACCCAAUAUUACUUUCCUCUUCAGUUUUUU